UUCUUUUUUUUUUUUUUUUUUUUAAUAUUUCCAGUGUUCCAAUGAGUGACUGAUAACUAUAAGUGCUAGUACAUUUGAAAUGGAUUAUUUUAUUUAAAAAGUUAUCUCUAGAAGCAAGUGGAUAUCCCUACUCAACUUCCAGUGCUCUGAAAGCAAGAGACAAGCAGAUAGAGCUUAAUCUUUUCUUCCAAAAAUCUCAACCGAAACAAUGUAAAGUGUAAUAGUGCAUUACAUUACAUGAAUACUACAUCAAAUCAGAACUUGAAUACUCCAUGAAUAAUGAUUAUUACAUUGAAUCAGAAUUUGAAAACUUGGAUAAUUUUUCUGAAUUCUUACCAGUGCUGUUAUGGUGCUGUUAAUGUACAGGAGAUGAUUGCUUUGUUGUAUAUGCAUAUUUUGCUGUUAUCAUGAUAGUCCUAAGUUCAAACCCUGUUUACUGUCACCCCCUCUAUCCUGAUGGAGGUUCUGCUUAGAAUUUAACAAUGUCAACUUCAUUUUGCUGUUACAACUGUUUAGGAUGACCAUUUACAGAGAGAAAAAAUAACUACCUGACUUGACAUGACCUCAGGCCUCUGCAUUUUUGUUGUUGUUUUGUUUACCAUACCAUUAAAAUGCCAUUUCUUAAUUCAUCCUUGCAUGACUAGCUUUGUGACCAUCAAGGUAUGACUUGAGGACUCAGUGGUCACAAUGAAUUUUUAAUCAUUUAAUUCAGUCCACUGCAAUCAACAUUAUUUAUUUUUCACUUUGGUGCUUUUAUUGAUCUGGAACUUGAAUUCUUUGAUUAUUAUGCAACUAAUAAGGACUGUCAUACCUGUACAUACCUGAGUAUUCUUUAUUUUAUAACUAGUUAUAUAUUCAAAGAGUUUCUUAACCACUUCUUUUGUACAUACUCAUUUCCAGUAUUAAGACGCAUAAUGGUAGAUUAUAUAGAACAGAUGAAAAAGCAUUACAUAAUAUUUAGUGCAAGAAUUUAAUUACUAGCAGAAAUAUGAUUCUUAUAUUUCUGUGAACAGUUCACCCAUUUAAACACCAAAAUAAUCUUUAUAUAACUGCAUUUGUCUAGGACCAAACUGAUUUUCUAUUGCUACAUAUUGCAUACAACUUUGGAUAUCUGUUGUUUUGUUUCCCUCUAGCUUGUGUAUUCUGUUGUAGAGAUAAAGUCAAACCUGGACACGCAAAAUGUGUACAAAAAAAAUAAGUGCCAAUGUUGACAAUUGUGAUUUGUGUUUCAUUCUGCUGAUAUUGUUUUUUUCGUAAAUGUGCGUUUUAAAUGCUUUGGCCCCACUCCCAAUAUAUAUGCAUUGUGAAUCAAAUAAAUGAUGUCUCUAUACCUACAUUGAAAUAAAAGAAGUGUCUUGAGUUUAUAUUGUCAUUAUGUUGCUGUAUUUUUUAACGUCCAAGAAAUUAAGAAAUAUAUUACAAUAAAAUGUACAAAUAUUGAAU
This is a non-coding RNA of Biomphalaria pfeifferi, 1443 nucleotides long. Lineage: Eukaryota; Metazoa; Mollusca; Gastropoda; Planorbidae. The record is from the annotation of a GenBank genome assembly.